This 581-nucleotide ribosomal RNA is filed under the name uncultured bacterium. RNAcentral's name for it is "bacterial SSU rRNA". It matches the Rfam family "Bacterial small subunit ribosomal RNA", at positions 338 to 916 of the family's 1533-position model. The record is from RNAcentral.
CCUACGGGAGGCAGCAGUAAGGAAUAUUGGUCAAUGGGCGCAAGCCUGAACCAGCCAUGCCGCGUGCAGGAAGACGGCCCUAUGGGUUGUAAACUGCUUUUGAACAAGAGAAAACCUCGGUACGUGUACCGAGCUGAUAGUAUUGUUAGAAUAAGCAUCGGCUAACUUCGUGCCAGCAGCCGCGGUAAGACGAAGGAUGCAAGCGUUAUCCGGAUUCAUUGGGUUUAAAGGGUGCGUAGGCGGCCUGAUAAGUCAGUGGUGAAAUCUCUCAGCUUAACUGAGAAACUGCCAUUGAUACUGUCGGGCUUGAGUACAGAUGAUGUGGGCGGAAUAUGACAUGUAGUGGUGAAAUACUUAGAUAUGUCAUAGAACACCGAUUGCGAAGGCAGCUCACAAAACUGUAACUGACGCUGAGGCACGAAAGUGCGGGGAUCAAACAGGAUUAGAUACCCUGGUAGUCCGCACCGUAAACGAUGAUUACUCGUUGUUGGCAAUAUGACCGUCAGCGACCAAGCGAAAGCGAAUAAGUAAUCCACCUGGGGAGUACGCCGGCGAACGGUGAAACUCAAAUGAAUUGACGG